ACACCUCAACUCUCAUGGCUUGCCGUGAUGAGCUUGGACUUUGGGGGUCUUGCUGGCCUGUGGUCAGCUCCUCUCAAAUGAAUUAGCCUGCCGGUGUUUGGUGGGAUCACAGGUGUGAUAACUAUCUACGCUUGUGGCUUUCCGCCAGGUAACCUUCAGCAAUGGAGGUUCACUGGAGCUCAUAAACGUCUCUCCUCAGUGAGGACAGAUUUUGACC
This 217-nucleotide unclassified non-coding RNA is filed under the name uncultured Tomentella. RNAcentral describes it as "sequence contains ITS2". The record is from RNAcentral. Lineage: Eukaryota; Fungi; Basidiomycota; Agaricomycetes; Thelephorales; Thelephoraceae.